Molecule: long non-coding RNA, 3367 nt
Organism: Sciurus carolinensis (gray squirrel)
Lineage: Eukaryota; Metazoa; Chordata; Mammalia; Rodentia; Sciuridae
Exons: 7
Source: RefSeq, a predicted model, not a curated record
GCCUGGUGGCUCGGACCAGCAGCUGCCCUCCGGCGUAUUUUGCAAACAUCAGUGUCAAGGCGGACAGGUACCUGCCCCAGGGAGAGGGCGGCGGUGGCCAGGGGUGGAUGCGCGACAGGGUGCGGAGGUCAGGGUGUGUGUGUGCACGUGAGUGAGAGCGGGCACGGGUGCAUCUCUGUGCCCGUGUGCACGCUCACCCGGGUGCGCCUGGGUGCCAGCUCCGGGGAGGGAAGGUGGGCCACAGAGGGCCAGAGACCCCCGUGCGCAACGCACCACGUAUCCGAGUCAAGUCGUGCAGCCUUUGCGAUGUCCCCACAUCUGCACCAUCGCGAUCUCCAGGUCGCUGAAGCACCAGGAGGCUCCCCGGGGGAGGGGCUCGCCCAGGGCCUCGCAGCUGCUGGACGGGACACACGCCGAACCCUGCCUUCUGUCCCGCGCAUGCAAGCGCCCCCGGCUGAGGCCGCCUGACUUUAGUGCCAGUCGUUUGCAGGACUGAAAAGGUAUCCGUGCCCACGACAGAGACCCCGGUUCUAAUCCCAGCCGUGCCCCUUUCGGGCGAGUGACCCGGGCGCCUAUCCCGCCCCUCUGAGCCUCCGCCUCUGCAGCUGCGCGGCCGGAUGGCGUUUUCUCCCUGCGAGGGCAGCGACGUCGCCGGUUGGUGCGUGAAGGACAACUGGGACACGUGCGGCUCGGUGGCAUCUCUGGCGCUGUGCCGGCCACACUCGAGGCGGUUAGUCACUCUUCUUGAGUUUGCGUGUGUCUCUUAGCAACUGAUGUGCCUUCUUCCCUGGGCGUAUCUGCAAGGUGACAGUGGAUGAAUUGUUCCCAACCUUGGUCUUUCUCAUUCCAUGAAAGCUGCUCUAAUUGCGCCCACACACCCGCCAGAGCGCCCCUCGGUGCCGUCCUUAGCGACGGAGGAUGGAGUGGGUUUCUUCUCCGCUGACAUUUGGGGCUGGAUGGCUUCUGGUGGGAGGGUCUGUGCUAUGCAUUAUGGGAUUUGGAACAGCAAUCCCCGUACCUAAUUAUUGGAUGCUAUUAGUAUUCCCAGUUGGACAGAGUCAAAUGUGCCCUGGGCAGGGGACAACAUGCCCUGUUGAGAAUCACUAAUUCACUGUAAGUGGUCUGUCCCAGACACCAUCUGGCAUUGCAGUUCGGAGCAUGGGUCCCAGAUGCAAAUGGCCUGGGUUUGGAUGCUGGCUCUAUGCUUAACUGCUGUGUGACUUGAGACAAGUCACUUAACCUCUCUGAGCCACAGGUGCUUCAUCUGUGUAAUGGGAAUGGGAGAGCAUUUGCUUGAUAGGAUGAGGGCAAAAUGAGAAGAAAGCACUGUUUCUGGGAACUGGGAGACAGGGAUCAGGAGGGUCUCCAUCUGGGCAAAGGUGAGGAGGGACCCACAGGGUUUGAUUGGUCUUGUCACCUUGUUCCUGCCACUGGGAGAAAGGUGGACUCAUCUGUGCCUGUGCUUCAUUUCCCAAGUGCCUCCCUUGCAGCCUGUGUGCGGAGGUUAAUGAGCCAUUCAGUUCCGGUGAAUUGCAAAGCUCCCCUGGAUCAGCCAACACCUGCUGUGCCUGAUUGAUGGUAGCCCUGCGGCCAGAGAGGACCACAAGCCAGAACCAGGGCAAUCAAUUAGUCCCAGGUCCCAAGAAAGACUCUGUCCUCUUCUCUCCUGCCUGAAACAGAAAAGGCCGGGCUUUCUGGUUUGUCUCACACGCCUUCCCCACGUCCGAACUAUCUCAGAGCCAAGUGUCGGAUCUGGGGUUGGAAAAGCUGGUGCUGACUGGUUGCUUUUUGCUGGGAGUUGAAAGCGUUUGACCUGCUUUAAUCCCAGCUCUUUGAAGGGAGCGUGAUUAUUGUCCCCCUUUUACAUUAGAAGAAACUGAAGUUCUGAGAGGAGAGCCGGGUCACACCCUGGUCUAAGUGACGGCUGAAAGUCAAUUGUUGCUGCUGGGGACUUCCGCUCCUCGGAACCUCAGUUUCCACUUCUGUGAAAUGGGGCGACUCAGACACCCAGCCCCUGUGUGAUGAGGACGUGGAGGCUCAGAGAAGCUAAGCAACCUGCCCGCAGCCACACAGCUUACACGUGGUCACUCCAGUGGCGGAGGGCAGGACCUCGAGGACCGGGAGAGGUCCAGCACUUCGAGAGCGACCAACCCGGCGAGUCAUGCGGUCAGUCCGUGGAGUGGACCCCGGAGAAAGGCCAAAGGGUCGGUGACGGACCAAGAGCCACAGGCUGUAGCAAGAAAAGUCCAGGAUACUCUGAAAGAAGAGCGGACGCUGAGACAGUCAGGGAGACCGUGAUGCGCAGCAGGCACUGGCUCCAGAAUUGUACGUGGAGUCAAGACCAAGCAGGCUCUGAACUUCGGAAUGGGGGAAGACUUUGCAUGGCUCAUCACCAAAUGCCCAGGGUGAAUGGAGUAGGUGCUCAGUAAACCACCCACCCAAUGAGUGGCUGUGGAAGAAAGUGCGCUCCUGGGGCGUUCUGUGCCAACCGACAUCGCUGGCAUCCCGAUGGGACGCAAGGGCCCUACUCCACCAGGACUAGCACACGGCCGCUGCCGGGGAGGGAACUCUCUGGCUUCGGUAGGCCCGCAGACUUUCAAAUCUAAGAAGCCGUGAUGUAAAUAGAUGUCGGCACCAACGACGGCUGCUGGCUCCGCGGCAGGAGAGAGCUGUGCUUCCGACUCAUCGUAAGUGAGGUCUGUGUGACAUUCUCUGGCUUCCCAGAUGCCCGGGCUGAACUACGGAACUUUUACAAACUGCCUCAAUACAGAACGACCCUCCUGGCUCCCCCGCCCACCUCAGGGGCCCCAUGUGUCGGCCCUCCCUGCCCAGCGGUUACCUGGCUGGGGUGCAGUUCAGGCCUUGCCGAGAAACCCUCCCAGAGAAUCGUGAUUCUUCCUAAGCUGCAGGCAGAUUGCCACGUAGCCUCGGACACCAGGGCCCCACGACAAAACCCUUCUUCCUGCAUCUUCCAGGUUCCCUGACUGAAAGGCCCUGACAGACAGACGGCGAAUGAAUGAUAACUGUGUUUCUGAAAAUUUCCAAGUUUAAACCAGCCUCUGCCUCCUGGAAGGGACCUGGCCUGUGGUAUUGACCUCCUUUCUCUGGGCCUCAGAGACAGUCAUGCAUGUCCACCUUGAGUGGCAACUCUAAUGCUCUACAGUUGCAUCUGGGAUCUGCGGGGAGAGGUGCUGGGAUCGAUUAGCAAUGUCUGCCAAGAGCAGAGGAGUCGGCGGUGUGGCAGACGUGCUGUAUAUUUGCCCUCUUUGGACUAGAUCUUCAUCCAUCUAGAUCUUUUAGAUAUAGAUCUUUCUGGAUCUUUGUCUCAGUAGCCUGAUGGGAGAUAAAAGUUCCAGGGGCUGAUCGU